RNAcentral lists this ribosomal RNA (503 nucleotides) under uncultured bacterium. Its description in RNAcentral is "partial 16S ribosomal RNA". It matches the Rfam family "Bacterial small subunit ribosomal RNA", at positions 30 to 523 of the family's 1533-position model. The record is from RNAcentral.
AUUGAACGCAGGCGGCAGGCUUAACACAUGCAAGUCGAGCGGGGUGAUGGUGCUUGCACUAUCACUUAGCGGCGGACGGGUGAGUAAUGCUUAGGAAUCUGCCUAUUAGUGGGGGACAACAUCUCGAAAGGGAUGCUAAUACCGCAUACGUCCUACGGGAGAAAGCAGGGGAUCACUUGUGACCUUGCGCUAAUAGAUGAGCCUAAGUCGGAUUAGCUAGUUGGUGGGGUAAAGGCCUACCAAGGCGACGAUCUGUAGCGGGUCUGAGAGGAUGGUCCGCCACACUGGGACUGAGACACGGCCCAGACUCCUACGGGAGGCAGCAGUGGGGAAUAUUGGACAAUGGGGGGAACCCUGAUCCAGCCAUGCCGCGUGUGUGAAGAAGGCCUUAUGGUUGUAAAGCACUUUAAGCGAGGAGGAGGCUCUUUUGGUUAAUACCCAAGAUGAGUGGACGUUACUCGCAGAAUAAGCACCGGCUAACUCUGUGCCAGCAGCCGCCGUAA